Molecule: ribosomal RNA, 253 nt
Filed under: uncultured bacterium
Lineage: Bacteria
Description: partial 16S ribosomal RNA
Rfam family: Bacterial small subunit ribosomal RNA
Source: RNAcentral
UACGUAGGGACCAAGCGUUGUUCGGAUUUACUGGGCGUAAAGGGCGCGUAGGCGGCUUAACAAGUCACUUGUGAAAUCUCCGGGCUUAACUCGGAACGGCCAAGUGAAACUGUCAAGCUAGAGUGCAGAAGGGGCAAUCGGAAUUCUUGGUGUAGCGGUGAAAUGCGUAGAUAUCAAGAGGAACACCGGUGGCGAAGGCGGCUACCUGGACAUCAACUGACGCUGAGACGCGAAAGCGUGGGGAGCAAACAGG